Molecule: ribosomal RNA, 427 nt
Filed under: uncultured bacterium
Lineage: Bacteria
Description: partial 16S ribosomal RNA
Rfam family: Bacterial small subunit ribosomal RNA
Source: RNAcentral
UGGGGAAUAUUGCACAAUGGGCGCAAGCCUGAUGCAGCCAUGCCGCGUGUAUGAAGAAGGCCUUCGGGUUGUAAAGUACUUUCAGCGAGGAGGAAGGCGGUAAGGUUAAUAACCUUAUCGAUUGACGUUACUCGCAGAAGAAGCACCGGCUAACUCCGUGCCAGCAGCCGCGGUAAUACGGAGGGUGCAAGCGUUAAUCGGAAUUACUGGGCGUAAAGCGCACGCAGGCCGUCUGUCAAGUCGGAUGUGAAAUCCCCGGGCUCAACCUGGGAACUGCAUUCGAAACUGGCAGGCUAGAGUCUUGUAGAGGGGGGUAGAAUUCCAGGUGUAGCGGUGAAAUGCGUAGAGAUCUGGAGGAAUACCGGUGGCGAAGGCGGCCCCCUGGACAAAGACUGACGCUCAGGUGCGAAAGCGUGGGGAGCAAACA